Sapajus apella (tufted capuchin) is the source of this 104-nucleotide long non-coding RNA. RefSeq lists it as uncharacterized. The record is from RefSeq and is a predicted model, not a curated record. The transcript is spliced from 3 exons. NCBI's taxonomy places the organism in Eukaryota, Metazoa, Chordata, Mammalia, Primates, Cebidae.
UUUAGGAAAUAACUGACAGCCUUCAAGCAAUUUAAAAGUUCAGAGGCAUUUUACAACCUCCAAUUUUACUUCAAAACGAAUUGAUUAAAUUAUUCACAAAAUAC